CCAGAGGCAGAGGUUGGAGCCAUGCUGGCCCAAGCCCAGGCACACCGGGAUCCACCAGACGCUGGCAGCGGCUGGGUAGGAGCCCCCUACAGAGAGAACACAGCCCUGCAGACACCUUGAUUUUGGAGUUCUGGCCUCCAGAACCUUGAGAGAAUGCAUUUCUGUAGUUUGAAGCCCUAAGCUUGUGGUAAUUUUGUUAGGGUAGCUCUAGAAAAUAAAUACAUGACCCUUUUUAGGAGAGUAUCAUCUGCUGCCCUCAGUGGCUUGAAGACUAGCAGGAUCAUCUUGACAGAUAACACCAAGAGGGAGAAAUGGCCCAGAGGGUUCCGAUUUCAGGAUUCUCAGUGGGGUUUGCCGGGAGCCAAUGCCAGUUUGAAUUGCAGGGCUGCUGCUUAGAGAAUGGGGCUGGGACUGGAGAGGCCAUUUUAAAAUCGUGGCCAUAAGCAAGAAGCUCAGCACAAAGUCAGGCAUCCUCUCUGCAUUACCACCUCCUCUUGGGGCUGAAUCAGGUGCAGAGGGACAGAAGUUUCUUUGCAAAGCACUAAGCUGAGACCACUGUGGAUGAAUCCUUGGAGGACUCUUUGGGGAUGAGGAGGAAAAGAUGGGAAGAGAAACCAGCAGGGACUCCCCGGUGAGAAGAAUAGGUGGAGAGCCAGGAGGAGGGAGAGAAAAUGGCCUGAGCAAUGGCUCCGUCAACCCAG
Talpa occidentalis (Iberian mole) is the source of this 701-nucleotide long non-coding RNA. RefSeq lists it as uncharacterized. The record is from RefSeq and is a predicted model, not a curated record. NCBI's taxonomy places the organism in Eukaryota, Metazoa, Chordata, Mammalia, Eulipotyphla, Talpidae. The transcript has 3 exons.